AUACAGAGGGUGCAAGCGUUAAUCGGAUUUACUGGGCGUAAAGCGCGCGUAGGUGGCUAAUUAAGUCAAAUGUGAAAUCCCCGAGCUUAACUUGGGAAUUGCAUUCGAUACUGGUUAGCUAGAGUAUGGGAGAGGAUGGUAGAAUUCCAGGUGUAGCGGUGAAAUGCGUAGAGAUCUGGAGGAAUACCGAUGGCGAAGGCAGCCAUCUGGCCUAAUACUGACACCGAGGUGCGAAAGCAUGGGGAGCAAACAGGAUUAGAUACCCUGUUAGUCCAUGCCGUAAACGAUGUCUACUAGCCGUUGGGGCCCUUGAGGCUUUAGUGGCGCAGCUAACGCGAUAAGUAGACCGCCUGGGGAGUACGGUCGCAAGACUAAAACUCAAAUGAAUUGACGGGG
This 396-nucleotide ribosomal RNA is filed under the name uncultured bacterium. Its description in RNAcentral is "partial 16S ribosomal RNA". It matches the Rfam family "Bacterial small subunit ribosomal RNA", at positions 523 to 918 of the family's 1533-position model. The record is from RNAcentral.